UCCAGGAGGAACACCCUUCAGCGAGUGA
This 28-nucleotide small RNA is filed under the name Bombyx mori (domestic silkworm). Its description in RNAcentral is "ovarian small RNA-2030". Lineage: Eukaryota; Metazoa; Arthropoda; Insecta; Lepidoptera; Bombycidae. The record is from RNAcentral.